Schistosoma mattheei is the source of this 48-nucleotide non-coding RNA. The record is from Rfam. Lineage: Eukaryota; Metazoa; Platyhelminthes; Trematoda; Strigeidida; Schistosomatidae.
AUCCAGUUGACGAGUCCUAAAAAGGGCGAAAUGCGCAUCAAACUGGAU